Papaver somniferum (opium poppy) is the source of this 456-nucleotide long non-coding RNA. RefSeq lists it as uncharacterized. Lineage: Eukaryota; Viridiplantae; Streptophyta; Magnoliopsida; Ranunculales; Papaveraceae. The record is from RefSeq and is a predicted model, not a curated record. The transcript is spliced from 3 exons.
UCACCGCCACCAACAAAAGUAUCAUCUCAUCUUCACUGCCCAUGACUCCGUUUUCUAAAUUCCAAAUCAAAAUUCUUAGUCUUAUCAAUGAACAACUUUGUAUCUUCAAUUUCAUUAGUGGCUCACGAAAAUCAGUUGAUGUGGUUGCACUUCAAUGAUCUAAUGUUGAUGACGUAUUCGAAAACAAAAAUCUGAAGAUGAGACCUUAACUACUGAUACAAGGUGGAAGGUGGAGAAGAUAACCAGUGAGGGUACUAUAGGUAGUUUGCUAAAAAAAAAUAUUUUUUUGCCACGUGUAUUUCCUGUUGAGUCAGCUAAUUAGUUUUGGACGGAAAAAGUAACGAGGGGAGAUUUCACUAAGUUUAUUUCUAUAGAGAACGUAACGCAAAUUAUGAUCUUUGGGAGAAGUAACGUAAAUUACCCCUAUUUUUUUUAUCUCAUCCUCAUUAUAAGUAC